CGCCGUAUUCAAGCUUUGUAAAAUGGGCAGGGUAUAUUUUUACUGCUGGGAAUGUGCUUUCAGAUGGCACAUAUCUUUUGCCCUAUAUCAUGUUGUUAACAAAACCAAAUUAAAUGUUUUAAAACCAAGAAAAUAAUAUCAAGACAUAUAUUGGCAUACAUGUAUCUUCAUUGAAUUGUAUGAUCCUAUAUAUAAGUUACAGUUAACUAAAUAGAAACAAAGGUCACAUGCAAAGAUAAUAGAACAAAUGAUUCCUAAAACCUAGUACUGUCUGGUGCAGAUGGCAGUACACAGUGCAUUGUACUGUCUGAUCUCAUACUAAGAGAACAGAAGAUUAAUAUAAGCAGGCAUUGACAUUUGAAUUUGCACAAACUGACGACCUGAUGCAUAAUGUAUCUUGUGAGGGAUUCUAGUUAUUUUGCAAGUAAAUAUGUAAACCUGAGCAUUAUUUGUUAUUUUACACUUAGCCUACUUGCCUGUCAUUUGCUGUUAGAGGAUUGUUCCUUGAGAACUCCAAAACGUUCAGGUCUUUUACAAGGGUGUUCCUUGCUGUACCCACGGUGAAUGGAAAAGGGUUGAGUAUAAUUAAUGAUGAACUACAUAUUCGCAACCCAUCUUCAGCUCGAAUGGAGGAUGCUGCCAAUGGAACAGCUGCCUCUACAGAUGCAAUUAACACAUUACAGGCCUCUCCAGCUUUACUCAGGUUUUCAUCAGAAAACAGUUCUGCUCAAGCAUCAACUCCACAGCAAGAAGAAAUGGUACUCCGGUUUUCUGAACAAUCUACAAUGAAUGUACAAUGGUCAUACAAAUGUCUUUCUGAAAAUGAGUGGAAUUAUGAAAAAGCUGCACACGUGUUCACUUCUUUAAAGGUAUAAAGUGCGCAUGACCUGCUGAUUAUUAGAUUAUUGUGAUUAAAAAAUUGUGUAAAUUGUGUUUCAUGAUGCAAUCGCAGAUGCCUAGUUUUACCAGAGCAACUGUGUAAAACUAUAAGCCUGCUGAAAAAGUAUGCUACAUAUAAGCCCUUCCCCACCAAUAUUACCUCGUUAACUUACGAAAUCUAGUGUCCUCCAGGAUCAUUGUACUCUUGAUAUAAAAUAUACAAUAGUUCAUUGGAAAGCCAGUGACUAAUUUCGAAACCCAAGUGAACUAUUAUGUCUCCGAUCAUGUGUUAAGAUAAUUUUGGUAAUGUACCACAUCUAAAAUACUACAGCUUGCUGUAAUGUGCAAAUACAUUAAUUUGUGUUCUGAUACAUGGUGAAUUCUGUUUUUAAAGAUGACUACUAAAUUGAAUUUUUAUACCAGUUGUAAAAACAUAGACAUGCCUCAGGCAUGCAAGGUGUGCAAGAGUUAUUUAAUUUUUUGGUGAAGUAAAAGCCCCGGGGGGUAGCAGCACUCAGUGGAGUCUUAACAGUAACUGUUAUGAUAAAGUUAUUCCAACAAGUUUGUUUGGUUACGAUUUACGGCGAAAAGAUUGAAUUUCUUUCACCUUAGGAACUGUAAUGUCAAGCUUAUAUUACAUUUAUCAAGGUUUGGUUUUGACAGUCGAUCGGUGGCUUUUUUAUUAUAACUACAUUGAACUGUUCCCAGCAAGUUUCCUUGUCACAUCAUUCCAAAUGCCUGAGACGGGGACAAAACAUCAGUUCGAGAAAAAGUUUUUAUGAGAGACAGAUGUUACUAAAACGGGAAUGGGAAUGGGGAAUGGGGAAUUGAAAUGGGAAAUUUAAAAUGGGAAAUUGAAUUUUUUUUACAUUAACUUUUUAUAAUGUGGAAUAGAUUUUUCAUCGACGAUUAUCGAUACCCACAUUUUAUUUCUUUGGAACGUUCUGCACCAAAACAAAGGAUAUGAUAAAGAGAGAAGUCGCCCUGCCUUGUUUCUUUAUUUAACUACCUGAAGCUAAGCAAGCAUUGAAGAGAAAAUUAACGAAUUUGUAACGAAAAUUGUGAUGAACACCAAAACUCAGGGCCUCGGUUGGGAGUUUGGUCCCACUCUGAGGACACGAUUAAAAUAUUGUGAGCAUCAGCAAAGGGCAAGAAGGAGAAAAACGCUUGCAGGAAACCCACAGAAGUUCAUUGAAUGGCUGCAUCAUGCACGUGCAACCAAUUUAUGCAAAUUACCACUUGAAACCUGUCAAAUUCAUCAUAUGUCUAGUGCAUCUGUUGGUUGUGAAAGUAAUAUAUUUUUUACACGAUUUUGCUCAGCUUCAGGUAGUGAAAUAAAGAAACAAGGCAGGGUGACUUCUCCUGUUAUCAUAUCCUUUUGUUUUGGUGCAGAACGUUUCAAAAAAAUAAAACAUGGAUAUCGAUAAUCGUCAAUGAAAAAAUUUAUUCCACGAUUCGCCUACAUUGAAGUCAUUUCACCUACAAUUAAGUCGAAGUUAUUUUGGGAAGAUAGAUGUACAAUGACUGUCAGACUUCUUUUGGUGAAAGGGAAGUCGAAAGGAAAAUCAGGCAAUAACAGUUUAUUUUUGCAAAUCAGCUAUAUUUUGUAAUCAGUGUCACUCUAUCACAUCAUGCCCUCAUUAUGGAAUAAAUUUUUGCAGAAGAAAUUUUUGCAGGAACUUUUUUGUGUCAAGUUACAAUUGAAACAAACAAAUAAAAAAAUCUUGUUACAAUUACCUGCAACAAAAACAAUUUUCAAAACUCAGCAGUGUUCUCACUCAUAACUAGUGGUCUGUAGUUUCUUUGGUUUUGACAGAGGAAACCACUUUAAAUGAGUGUCUCAGUAUCUAUUGCAAGAAACGUUUCAAUGGGAAGACAUUCAGGAACCGAAACAUUUUACGCAAACAUAAAUGGUUUGGACUUGAUUCUUUUUUUGUGAACUGCACGUGAUGCAAAUUAUAUCAAUGGGAACCUGACGAACACCAUCACAGUAGUGCAUUUUCCACUGAAAACAAUCAUUCCUUUCCUAGAAAUCACCAAUUAGUCAUCAUUCAAAAAUUCUUUUAAUGCAAAAAGCAAAGCCUUGAUGACAUGUUAGUAUAUGCCAAAGACUAUGAUUCCUCGGUUGAUUAUCAAAUUCAGAACUCUUUUGAAACCCAUCUAUAAAGUCCUGGGCUUAACCAUAGUAAACGCAACAUUGGCAAUAUCAAAAUAAGACCAACACAAGAAUACCUGUUUGUGGGGAAUUUGUCAAGUUUGGUAUUUAUAUUUAUUGUGAUCAUUGUAUUUUAACAGAUAAAAAGUAGAUAAAACGUUUAUACUUGAAGAUAAUAUUCGAGACAGAGAAAUGAUCAAACCACAGAUAACAAACUAUGGUAAAAUGAAAUCAGGGCAAGUUUCAUCAUUCUGUACUUGCCUAUUGGAAAUGCUUUAUUUUCCAUAAAUUCCAUCAGGUAUCUUGUUUGAUCAACUGAUAUUUCAAACUUUCUUAGAUUUCACGAAAAUUUGAACUUACAGGAACUUUGAAAUUUCUGAGAAUAGUUUCACUGCAGCUGUUACGGGAUUCUACAUAUUUACAGGCAGAUGCUGUUUAAGAUUGCACAACUAAGGGUGCGUUCCUUUGGGGUGAUCUGGAUCAGGAUCAGUGAUCCA
Molecule: long non-coding RNA, 3531 nt
Organism: Orbicella faveolata
Lineage: Eukaryota; Metazoa; Cnidaria; Anthozoa; Scleractinia; Merulinidae
Source: RefSeq, a predicted model, not a curated record